Molecule: ribosomal RNA, 253 nt
Filed under: uncultured bacterium
Lineage: Bacteria
Description: partial 16S ribosomal RNA
Rfam family: Bacterial small subunit ribosomal RNA
Source: RNAcentral
UACGUAGGGGGCAAGCGUUAUCCGGAUUUACUGGGUGUAAAGGGAGCGUAGACGGCAUGGCAAGUCAGAUGUGAAAGCCCGGGGCUCAACCCCGGGACUGCAUUUGAAACUGUCAGGCUGGAGUGCAGGAGAGGUAAGCGGAAUUCCUAGUGUAGCGGUGAAAUGCGUAGAUAUUAGGAGGAACACCAGUAGCGAAGGCGGCUUACUGGACUGUAACUGACGUUGAGGCUCGAAAGCGUGGGGAGCAAACAGG